GGGGAAUAUUGGACAAUGGGGGCAACCCUGAUCCAGCAAUGCCGCGUGAGUGAUGAAGGCCUUCGGGUUGUAAAGCUCUUUUACCCACGACGAUGAUGACGGUAGUGGGAGAAUAAGCCCCGGCUAACUUCGUGCCAGCAGCCGCGGUAAUACGAAGGGGGCUAGCGUUGUUCGGAGUUACUGGGCGUAAAGGGCGCGUAGGCGGCGGACCAAGUCAGAUGUGAAAGCCCUGGGCUCAACCCGGGAUGUGCAUUUGAGACUGGUCCGCUAGAGGAUGGGAGAGGAUAGUGGAAUUCCCAGUGUAGAGGUGAAAUUCGUAGAUAUUGGGAAGAACACCGGUGGCGAAGGCGGCUAUCUGGACCAUUUCUGACGCUGAGGCGCGAAAGCGUGGGGAGCAAACAGGA
RNAcentral lists this ribosomal RNA (404 nucleotides) under uncultured Rhodospirillaceae bacterium. RNAcentral's name for it is "bacterial SSU rRNA". It matches the Rfam family "Bacterial small subunit ribosomal RNA", at positions 356 to 777 of the family's 1533-position model. Lineage: Bacteria; Pseudomonadati; Pseudomonadota; Alphaproteobacteria; Rhodospirillales; Rhodospirillaceae. The record is from RNAcentral.